UUUGAUUCUGGCUCAGAUUGAACGCUGGCGGGAUGCUUUACAUGCAGAUGGGCAGCAGCGCGGACUUCGGUCUGGUGGCGAGUGGCGAACGGGUGAGUAAUGUAUCGGAACGUGCCUAGUAGCGGGACUAACUAUGCAGAAAGCGUAGCUAAUACCGCAUACGCCCUUCAGGGAGAAGCGGGGGACCUUCGGGCCUCGCACUAUUAAACGGCCGAUAUCGGAUUAGCUAGUUGGUGGGGUAACGGCUCACCAAGGCGACGAUCCGUAGCUGGUUUGAAGGGCGACCAGCCACACUGGGACUGAGACACGGCCCAGACUCCUACGAGGCCAGCAGUGGGGAAUUUUGGACAAUGGAAACCCUGAUCCAGCCAUCCGCGUGCAGUAGGCCUUCGGGUUGUAAACCACUUUUGGCAGGAAAGGCAGCUGGGAUGACUACCCCGUGCAACUGACGACACCUGCAGAAUAAGCACCGGCUAACCGUGCCUUGACGCGGUAAUACGUAGGGUGCAAGCGUUAAUCGGAAUUACUGGGCGUAAAGCGUGCGCAGGCGGUUCGGAAAGAAGAUGUGAAAUCCCAGAGCUUAACUUUGGAACUGCAUUUUUAACUACCGAGCUAGAGGUGUGUCAGAGGAGGUGGAAUUCGCGUAGCAGUGAAGUGCGUAGAUAUGCGGAGGAACUUCGAUGGCGAGAGCAGCCUCCUGGGAUAACACUGAUGACGCUCAUGCACGAAAGCGUGGGGAGCAAACAGGACAAAUACCCUGGUAGUCCACGCCCUAAACGAUGUCAACUAGCUGUUGGGGCCUUCGGGCCUUGGUAGCGCAGCUAACGCGUGAAGUUGACCGCCUGGGGAAGUACGGUCGCAGAUUAAAACUCAAAGGAAUUGACGGGGACCCGCACAAGCGGUGGAUGAUGUGGAUUAAUUCGAUCGCGCGAAAACCUUACCCAUAUGUGACGUCGAUCCCGAAGGGUUGGGAGUGCUCGCAGAGAACCGGAACACAGGUGCUGCAUGGCUGUCGUCAGCUCCGUGUCGUGAGAUGUUGGUUUAAGUCCCGCAACGAGCGCAACCCUUGUCAUUAGUUGCUGCGAAAGGGCACUCUAAUGAGACUGCCGGUGACAAACCGGAGGAAGGUGGGGAUGACGUCAGAUAUCUGGCCCUUAUGGAGGUGGAGCUUCGCACAUCGCCGUCGGUCGGGACAGAGGGUCGCCAACCCGCGAGAGGUAAUCGAAACCCGAUCGUAGUCCGGAUCGCAGUCUGCAGCUCGACUGCGUGGAAGUCGGAAUCGCUGGUAACGGAUCAGCAUGUCGCGGUGAAUACGUUCCCGGGUCUUGUACCUUCCGCCCGUCUACCACCAUGGGAGUGGGUUUUACCAGAAGUAGUUAGCCUAACCCGUAAGGAGGGCGGAACCUGCGGUAGGAUUCAUGAUGGGGUGAAGUCGUAACAAAGGUAACCCUGUUGCUACUGGUGUCAGAAUA
Molecule: ribosomal RNA, 1472 nt
Filed under: uncultured Bordetella sp.
Lineage: Bacteria; Pseudomonadati; Pseudomonadota; Betaproteobacteria; Burkholderiales; Alcaligenaceae
Description: partial 16S-23S ribosomal RNA intergenic spacer
Rfam family: Bacterial small subunit ribosomal RNA
Source: RNAcentral